Long non-coding RNA from Nomia melanderi (Alkali bee), 1725 nucleotides. RefSeq lists it as uncharacterized. Lineage: Eukaryota; Metazoa; Arthropoda; Insecta; Hymenoptera; Halictidae. The record is from RefSeq and is a predicted model, not a curated record.
CACGAGACGAAACGUAUUCGUAUAUGUGAUGUACGAUUUUGGCUGUGACUCACUGUACAAUGUAUUUUUCUGUCUACGGUUCUGAAAUACCGACACUGUAGAAAAUGCCUGUAGCGUUCGUGUUACCACAGUAACGUGCGCGUUUUACUUUGCCGGUCUACUCGAAGCGCAGGAUUUUGUUAGAAGGUGUUGUUGCAAAGUAACCAUGAAAGAAAAGGGGUCGCUACUAGUUUUCUCAUUUCCGCUUCCGUUCGGUAGUUUUCAGAGGCUAAAAUGAAUGUGCUUCCUCCCGCGGUUGAAAUUGUUAUUUAUUAUUAAUUUAUUAAGUACUGAGCUAUUUGUUUAUGAAUAAAUAUUAUGGAUACAUCGAAAUGGAAGUGUGGGUAUACAUUGAGAGGAAAAAUAAAUGUGUGUGAAAUAGUUAUUAUAUAGAGAUGUUGUGCUCGUAUAGGAAUUUGGUGAUUAAGGUCAGUUCCUUUAUGUGUGGUAGUUAUCAAUCUAGGAAACGUAAACUCAUAACUGGGGAGACUUGAUUCUUCUACAAGAGAGGACACUGGAUAUGGUAGGAUAUGGUUUAUGUUCCGUUUGGUUGACAGCACAAAUUUUGUAGAGAAAUUCAGUUAGACUAUAAUGAUUGGAAGGAGCUAGAGCGAUUUACAAAGCUAAUAGUCGUAGUAAUUGAAGAUUAUGAAACCAGGGCUUGGUUGUCUUCUUGAAGUAUUUUUGGAAGUAGUUUGUUCCAGUUGGAUUUGUAUGAUUGGUAUUAGCUUUUUCCAUCCAAUUGGCAAAGCUCGAGUUCCACAGCAUUCUGUUGUGGAGCUUGUGUAUUGCGAGCAUUGCUUCUUUGUCCAGCUUGUUGACUGCUUCAUUGGUACCUAGUUCUUUGUGUGAUGGCACCCAUAGAAAUUUGAUUCUAGAGUGAGUACUGUUGCUGUCUCUUAGGUCCUCUGCAAGUUUGCAUUUUAUGUCUAGAACAUAUCUGUUUUAUAUUGCUUGGAUGGUUAGUUAAAGUGGAGAUAACACUAAGAGCUUCAGAGCAGAUGAGAAUUAGGUUACACUGAAGGUUCAUUGUCAUACAUAGUGUUCAGCAUAUGGCAAUGCAUUCUGCAAAAAAAACUGAGAGGUGUAUGAAGGCUAACACAUUCAGCUUUAAAGAGCAGUGCAAAUUUUGGAAUCAUUAGUGUAAAUGAUAAUGUGAUUUCGAUAUAAGGAAUUGAUUGUGGUAUUGAAAUCUGUGUUAAUAUCUGUACUAUUGGCCAGUUGAAUACCUGUGUGGAGGUUGCAGUCAGCAGAGGUGAAAAGACAGGAAAACUAGUUUGGAUUUAUGUUAAAUAUAUAGUCCUUGGCUAUUGAGUGUCUAAUUGGUCAGAGUUCAAGGAGUGCAUCCACGUCUCUUAUUGAACUCUCGGUCAGAAUUGGCAAGUGUUGCUAUAUGCCCCGAUGUAUUGGCGGACUCUAUCUGAAUCUGUGGAAAUCUAAGGGUUAGGCAUGUAUGGGCCGUCUAAUGUGUCCUAUAACUGACUGUUCGGGCAGAGUUGGAGAAAUUGAGGCAGGCUUGGGCGAGUGCUUAUAGUACUGUAAUAUUCGGACCAGUAAAGCCAGAAAAUAAUUAAAUGGUUGUGUUUUCCCCACUCCGUCUUAUCCCUUCUACUACCUCAUUCUUCAUCUGUGGGCAUCCACCAACAACCUUUGCAUCCACCGCAGAACCAAUUGGUAAUGACAGAG